AUCUCCUAGUUCUCUGUUUCAACCUAACUCCACAACCUUCUUUCCUCUUUUCUGCAGAGAGGCAGUGUGGUCUAGGGGCUUCACCCCAUGUCUGGGAACCAGGGACUCCAGCAUUCUAAUGACAGUUUCCUUCCUGCUGCAUGACCUGUCACUUGUUCCAUCCUGCAUUGAGAACCAGCAAAUGAACUUGCGCAGCACUCUACAGUUGCAGGAUUAGUGCCUUAAAUUGUCAAGACCCAGACAAGAAGUUAUUGGCUUGUGCAACAAUUGUUUGUAAAAAUAUAAGUGUAAGAGUAUGUGAAGCAGGAGGACAAGGCAAAGCACAGGAUUGAACUGAUUGCUAGUUUGGUGUUUCGGAUGAAUUUUUUCCUCAGCGCAUACUGCAAAGCAAUGUGGGGAAUGGAUGAGCAUUCACAUCACACUCCCAGUCAGUACCAAGCCCAAGCCGAGGAAGCUAAUGAUCCAACCAGCAAACCAAAUUCAGUGAUAAAUCCUGGUCACAUGCUAUCCCGAGGCACGUUGGGCAUACGCUAAGAAGAAGCAAAG
RNAcentral lists this long non-coding RNA (546 nucleotides) under Gopherus agassizii (Agassiz's desert tortoise). RNAcentral's name for it is "lncRNA (ENSGAGG00000024536.1)". Lineage: Eukaryota; Metazoa; Chordata; Testudines; Testudinidae. The record is from RNAcentral.